Molecule: non-coding RNA, 132 nt
Filed under: Ipomoea nil (Japanese morning glory)
Lineage: Eukaryota; Viridiplantae; Streptophyta; Magnoliopsida; Solanales; Convolvulaceae
Description: Bacterial small subunit ribosomal RNA
Rfam family: Bacterial small subunit ribosomal RNA
Source: Rfam by way of RNAcentral
CACUGCCCGUCACACUAUGGGAGCUGGUCAUACCCAAAGUUAUUACCUUAACCGCAAGGAGGGAAUGCCGAAGGCAGAGUUAGUGACUGGAGUGAAGUCGUAACAAGGUAGCCGUACUGGAAGGUGCGGAAA